RNAcentral lists this ribosomal RNA (433 nucleotides) under uncultured bacterium. Its description in RNAcentral is "partial 16S ribosomal RNA". It matches the Rfam family "Bacterial small subunit ribosomal RNA", at positions 29 to 507 of the family's 1533-position model. The record is from RNAcentral.
AGCGAACGCUGGCGGCAGGCCUAACACAUGCAAGUCGAACGAACUCUUCGGAGUUAGUGGCGGACGGGUGAGUAACACGUGGGAACGUGCCUUUAGGUUCGGAAUAACUCAGGGGAACUUGUGCUAAUACCGAAUGUGCCCUUCGGGGGAAAGAUUUAUCGCCUUUAGAGCGGCCCGCGUCUGAUUAGCUAGUUGGUGAGGUAAAGGCUCACCAAGGCGACGAUCAGUAGCUGGUCUGAGAGGAUGAUCAGCCACAUUGGGACUGAGACACGGCCCAAACUCCUACGGGAGGCAGCAGUGGGGAAUCUUGCGCAAUGGGCGAAAGCCUGACGCAGCCAUGCCGCGUGAAUGAUGAAGGUCUUAGGAUUGUAAAAUUCUUUCACCGGGGACGAUAAUGACGGUACCCGGAGAAGAAGCCCCGGCUAACUUCGUG